CAAGACUAAAUUCUUACCUUUCCCGGCAUGGAUCUUCCAUCAAUGCUUUUCUACCUGGGCACAGUGUUGGUGCCGUGGUGCUAUGGAUUCAGUGUGGAUGUGGAGACACCAACGAUCUUCCAAGGGCAAAGUCAGAGUUUUGGGAUAAGUGUUGCCCAGAACAGGAAUAAGGUGCUCAUUGGGGCCCCAUUCGAGACAGGACAGGUGAACGAAAU
Non-coding RNA from Python bivittatus (Burmese python), 215 nucleotides. NCBI's taxonomy places the organism in Eukaryota, Metazoa, Chordata, Lepidosauria, Squamata, Pythonidae. The record is from RefSeq and is a predicted model, not a curated record.